This 253-nucleotide ribosomal RNA is filed under the name uncultured bacterium. RNAcentral's name for it is "partial 16S ribosomal RNA". It matches the Rfam family "Bacterial small subunit ribosomal RNA", at positions 524 to 776 of the family's 1533-position model. The record is from RNAcentral.
GACAGAGGUGCCGAGCGUUAGGCGGAAUCACUGGGCUUAAAGCGUGUGUAGGCGGACUUCUAAGUACCUUGUGAAAUCCCACGGCUCAACCGUGGAACUGCUUGGUAUACUGGUCGUCUUGAGCCAUCUAGGGGCUGUCGGAACAAGCGGUGGAGCGGUGAAAUGCGUAGAUAUCGCUUGGAACGCCGAAGGUGAAAACAGGCUGCUGGGGUUGCGCCGACGCUGAGACACGAAAGCCAGGGGAGCAAACGGG